GACGAACGCUGGCGGCGUGCUUAACACAUGCAAGUCGAACGGAAAGGCCCUGCUUUUGUGGGGUGCUCGAGUGGCGAACGGGUGAGUAACACGUGAGUAACCUGCCCUUGACUUUGGGAUAACUUCAGGAAACUGGGGCUAAUACCGGAUAGGAGCUCCUGCUGCAUGGUGGGGGUUGGAAAGUUUCGGCGGUUGGGGAUGGACUCGCGGCUUAUCAGCUUGUUGGUGGGGUAGUGGCUUACCAAGGCUUUGACGGGUAGCCGGCCUGAGAGGGUGACCGGCCACAUUGGGACUGAGAUACGGCCCAGACUCCUACGGGAGGCAGCAGUGGGGAAUAUUGCACAAUGGGCGGAAGCCUGAUGCAGCAACGCCGCGUGCGGGAUGACGGCCUUCGGGUUGUAAACCGCUUUCGCCUGUGACGAAGCGUGAGUGACGGUAAUGGGUAAAGAAGCACCGGCUAACUACGUGCCAGCAGCCGCGGUGAUACGUAGGGUGCGAGCGUUGUCCGGAUUUAUUGGGCGUAAAGGGCUCGUAGGUGGUUGAUCGCGUCGGAAGUGUAAUCUUGGGGCUUAACCCUGAGCGUGCUUUCGAUACGGGUUGACUUGAGGAAAGGUAGGGGAGAAUGGAAUUCCUGGUGGAGCGGUGGAAUGCGCAGAUAUCAGGAGGAACACCAGUGGCGAAGGCGGUUCUCUGGGCCUUUCCUGACGCUGAGGAGCGAAAGCGUGGGGAGCGAACAGGCUUAGAUACCCUGGUAGUCCACGCUGUAAACGGUGGGUACUAGGUGUGGGGUCCAUUCCACGGGUUCCGUGCCGUAGCUAACGCUUUAAGUACCCCGCCUGGGGAGUACGGCCGCAAGGCUAAAACUCAAAGGAAUUGACGGGGCCCCGCACAAGCGGCGGAGCAUGCGGAUUAAUUCGAUGCAACGCGUAGAACCUUACCUGGGUUUGACAUGGAUCGGGAGUGCUCAGAGAUGGGUGUGCCUCUUUUGGGGUCGGUUCACAGGUGGUGCAUGCCUGUCGUCAACUCGUGUCGUGAGAUGUUGGGUUAAGUCCCGCAACGAGCGCAACCCUUGUUCACUGUUGCCAGCACGUUAUGGUGGGGACUCAGUGGAGACCGCCGGGGUCAACUCGGAGGAAGGUGGGGAUGACGUCAAGUCAUCAUGCCCCUUAUGUCCAGGGCUUCACGCAUGCUACAAUGGCUGGUACAGAGAGUGGCGAGCCUGUGAGGGUGAGCGAAUCUCGGAAAGCCGGUCUCAGUUCGGAUUGGGGUCUGCAACUCGACCUCAUGAAGUCGGAGUCGCUAGUAAUCGCAGAUCAGCAACGCUGCGGCGAAAAAGUUCCCGGG
Molecule: ribosomal RNA, 1344 nt
Filed under: uncultured bacterium
Lineage: Bacteria
Description: 16S ribosomal RNA
Rfam family: Bacterial small subunit ribosomal RNA
Source: RNAcentral